CUGGCUCAGGAUGAACGCUAGCGGCAGGCUUAACGCAUGCAAGUCGAGGGGCAGCGCGAGGUAGCAAUACUUGGCGGCGACCGGCGAAAGGGUGCGUAACGCGUGAGCAACUUGCCCGUAUCUGGGACAUAAGCGGUGGAAACGCCGUCUAAUUUCCCAUAACAACAGAGGCCGCAUGACCUUUGUUUGAAAGAUCCGUCGGAUACGGAUGGGCUCGCGAGACAUUAGCUAGUCGGCGUGGUAACGGCACACCGAGGCGACGAUGUCUAGGGGUUCUGAGAGGAAGGUCCCCCACACUGGAACUGAGACACGGUCCAGACUCCUACGGGAGGCAGCAGUGAGGAAUAUUGGUCAAUGGGCGCAAGCCUGAACCAGCCAUGCCGCGUGAAAAGGAAUAAGGCCCUAUGGGUCGUAAACUUCUUUUGUGGUGGAGCAAUAAGGUGUACGCGUACACCGAUGAGAGUACAUCACGAAUAAGCAUCGGCUAACUCCGUGCCAGCCGCCGC
This 506-nucleotide ribosomal RNA is filed under the name uncultured bacterium. RNAcentral describes it as "bacterial SSU rRNA". It matches the Rfam family "Bacterial small subunit ribosomal RNA", at positions 19 to 518 of the family's 1533-position model. The record is from RNAcentral.